Penaeus monodon (black tiger shrimp) is the source of this 301-nucleotide long non-coding RNA. RefSeq lists it as uncharacterized. The transcript is spliced from 3 exons. The record is from RefSeq and is a predicted model, not a curated record. NCBI's taxonomy places the organism in Eukaryota, Metazoa, Arthropoda, Malacostraca, Decapoda, Penaeidae.
AGGCAAGCAUCAAGAACCCCAACCACACAGGUAGACAGCACUGAACACCCAUCAAGGUUAUAGAGUAUAUUAGUCCUAUAGCAAGUCCGGAAAACUGAACGUUCAAACCAUGUUCCGGAGGUUCGCUGUUCAUUUUGUUCUCGUCUUCGUCUUCCUGAUCUGUUCAGUUAUUGGCAUGGCAACAGAAAGUCGCCCUUGCUUCAAGGAACCAUUUGACUGUCAUGGAAAACCCCACAAACCCCAUGCUGCCCCCCCCCUGCCCCUAUACCCGAGUAUGUCACUGAGGCACUUAUCUCGUCUC